Molecule: ribosomal RNA, 404 nt
Filed under: Fusobacteriota bacterium
Lineage: Bacteria; Fusobacteriati; Fusobacteriota
Description: Fusobacteria bacterium partial 16S ribosomal RNA
Rfam family: Bacterial small subunit ribosomal RNA
Source: RNAcentral
UGGGGAAUAUUGCACAAUGGAGGGAACUCUGAUGCAGCGACGCCGCGUGAGGGAUGAAGGAAUUCGUUUCGUAAAACUCUGGUCUAUGGGAAGAAAAGGACUGUACCAUAGGAGAAAGGUCCGGCUAAAUACGUGCCAGCAGCCGCGGUAAUACGUAAGGAGCGAGCGUUGUCCGGAAUUAUUGGGCGUAAAGGGUGCGCAGGCGGCUUUACAAGUUGGAUGUGAAAUAUUGUGGCUCAACCACAAACGUGCAUCCAAAACUGCAAAGCUUGAGUUAAGGAGAGGUAAGUGGAAUUCCUGGUGUAGCGGUGGAAUGCGUAGAUAUCAGGAGGAAUACCGGUGGCGAAGGCGACUUACUGGACUUAAACUGACGCUCAGGCACGAAAGCGUGGGGAGCAAACAGG